GACGAACGCUGGCGGCGUGCUUAACACAUGCAAGUCGAGCGGAAAGGCCUUUCGGGGUACUCGAGCGGCGAACGGGUGAGUAACACGUGAGUAAUCUGCCCAUCGCUUCAGGAUAGCCAUCGGAAACGGUGAUUAAUACUGGAUAUGACAUUCCUUCGCAUGUUGGGGUGUGGAAAGUUUUUUCGGCGGUGGAUGUGCUCGCGGCCUAUCAGCUUGUUGGUGGGGUAAUGGCCUACCAAGGCUUUGACGGGUAGCCGGCCUGAGAGGGUGACCGGCCACACUGGGACUGAGACACGGCCCAGACUCCUACGGGAGGCAGCAGUGGGGAAUAUUGGACAAUGGGCGGAAGCCUGAUCCAGCAACGCCGCGUGAGGGAUGACGGCCUUCGGGUUGUAAACCUCUUUCAGCACAGACGAAGUUUUGCUUUUUUGGGUGAAGUGACGGUAUGUGCAGAAGAAGGACCGGCCAACUACGUG
RNAcentral lists this ribosomal RNA (476 nucleotides) under uncultured bacterium. RNAcentral describes it as "bacterial SSU rRNA". It matches the Rfam family "Bacterial small subunit ribosomal RNA", at positions 28 to 507 of the family's 1533-position model. The record is from RNAcentral.